UUGAAUCGGCACCAAAAUUGGCAGUAUUUCAAUACUAUAUGGAAAGUAUCUCUCUAUCGAAUUUCGGGGAAAAAUACCUUCGGCAAGGUAGUUAAUGAGCCAACCGCAGUUCAAGAAAAUUCCUAAGGCAUUCUGCCUUUGACUUUCAUUUCCCAAAUUUCCAAUCGUUCAACCAAGAAGGUUAUCCAACCAUGGUUCAUUUGUAAAAAUAAGGGUCUAAGAUACACCCAUAAUAUCUUUGGUAGUGUUUAAUAUCAAAAACAUCAACUAACAAGUUCACUACAAGAUUUGGUUCCAAACCAGUCCAAACAUUAGGGUUUUCCAAAACACAGCAGUCCACUUGCUUCAGUCACAAAUCAGUCAAUAUAGCUCGAAAUCGAGCAUGGCUUACGCCGUUGGAAAAUACAUUCAUAGGACUAAAAUAUCACAGAAGAAAUCAUUUCCAAAUUCGGCACCCA
Molecule: long non-coding RNA, 458 nt
Filed under: Coffea arabica (coffee)
Lineage: Eukaryota; Viridiplantae; Streptophyta; Magnoliopsida; Gentianales; Rubiaceae
Description: long non-coding RNA (CARA_LNC004714)
Source: RNAcentral